This 70-nucleotide ribosomal RNA is filed under the name Acinetobacter seifertii. RNAcentral's name for it is "partial 23S ribosomal RNA". The record is from RNAcentral. Lineage: Bacteria; Pseudomonadati; Pseudomonadota; Gammaproteobacteria; Moraxellales; Moraxellaceae.
GUGUGUAAGUACAGCAAUGUAUUGAGCUAACUGAUACUAAUGAUCCGUGCGGCUUGACCAUAUAACCUCA